RNAcentral lists this ribosomal RNA (374 nucleotides) under uncultured organism. Its description in RNAcentral is "bacterial SSU rRNA". It matches the Rfam family "Bacterial small subunit ribosomal RNA", at positions 526 to 896 of the family's 1533-position model. The record is from RNAcentral.
CGUAGGGGCCUAGCGUUGUCCGGAUUUAUUGGGCGUAAAGAGCUCGUAGGCGGUUCGGUAAUUCAGGUGUGAAAUCUCCACGCUCAACGUGGAGGCGCCACCUGAAACUGCCGUGACUCGAGUCCGGUAGGGGAGUGUGGAAUUCCCGGUGUAGCGGUGAACUGCGCAGAUAUCGGGAGGAACACCAGUGGCGAAGGCGGCACUCUGGGCCGGUACUGACGCUGAGGAGCGAAAGCGUGGGGAGCGAACAGGAUUAGAUACCCUGGUAGUCCACGCCGUAAACGUUGGGCACUAGGUGUGGGACUCUAUCGACGGGUUCCGUGCCGUAGCUAACGCAUUAAGUGCCCCGCCUGGGGAGUACGGCCGCAAGGCUA